CUUGGGACUAACUGAAUUUUUUUUUUUUUUUUUUCCCCAGCCUUAUACUUCAGUUGGCUUCCUUCCCAACUCCGAGCAUCCAAAUGGAGGCUCCCCCUCGUGGCAAGUCCUGGAAUAACAGGAACAGGUUACUGAGGCUUCAUUGUGCUGGAGCUGGAGGAGAGAGAGGAGCAGCGGUCCUGGUCGAGGCACCCCAGGAAACAGGAUUCCAGCCUGGGCCUCACAGCCUCCUCCCUUGGGCCCCUGCCUUCGUCAUGUCCUGUCUUUAUCCUUCAGGAAGUGGGGAGCCAAUGAAGCUCCCCCUGCGGCUUGCCAGCUGCCAGCAGAUGACAUCUCCUUUCAUGUUUGGGGCUGAGCACAGCUUUGAAUGUUCGUUUGAUUCCGUUAAGAUAAUAGCUGGUUCACUGUCAGAUGCAGACUGAUCAGUUAAAACCUUAAUCACUGCCUGUCUCCUCACUCGGCACUUAUUUUUUAAGAGAUUAAUCCCCUCAGCCCUGCUCCAGCUCACAUUCAGCUUGAAAAAAAAAAAAAGGCAAGGUUUGUGUUAUUCUUAUUAUUAUUAUUAUUGUCACUUUCAUUAUUCUGCAUAUUAAUUCUGUCCCUCUCUGCCCUUUCAACUAUUCUUUUUUCUCCCCCGUGGUUUCCCAGUCUUCCCCUCAUCUCACUUGUAUAUUCUCUCUCUUUCUCUCUCUUUCUCUCUCUCUCUCAUACACACACACACACACACACACACACACACACACACACACUGAUGUGACUUUCCAGAUCUAGUGUGAGCUAUAUCCAGAUAUUGAUAUAGUGUUAGUAUAUACAAUACCCCUGCACACGCCCUCCCUACCUCCACAUGCACACCUGGCUGUUCAGCACAGGGACCGGACACAGGACACAGGUCCAGGCACAUGCGGUCCAGGGCAGGUGGGAGAUACAGCUCUGUAUCAUGGGCAGAGUCCAAUAUUUGGGGUCACACACAUGUGCCCUGAUUCUCCCUCAGAGACUCGCAUGCUUUGUGACCUUGGAGAGAAGUCUUACUUUCCUCAUCUGUAAAAUGGGAUGAGAGCACUCACUUCAGGGAGGCUGUGAGCAUUGAAUACAAGACAACAUGUAGGCUACCCACAGCAGGGCCUGGCACAGGGUGGCGGCUCAGUGUCAUUCCUGUUCCUCGUUCCUACCUCCCAGGCUUCAUGGAAAGAUCCUUUCUAGAGGUUGCCCAGUCCCUCCUCCCCCGCAAGAUGCUGUACCCUCUCUGGGCCAUUUUGCAGACACUUCUCACUUUAUUACCUAUCUCAGCAGUCAAGCCUUACCCAGGAUCAGGGAAGGAUAUUCUGCUUGACACUGACCUGUGAAGGUUGGAUUUCACAAUUUGCAAUUAAAGCUAGAAUUUUACAGAGGAAAGUAACCCAGGGGCCAUCCGGUCCAAACCCUCAAAGUACAUGAAGAGAGAAAGGCUCAGAGAGGGGCCGAUUUGCCCUGGGCCACACAGCAAGUUAUAGCAGGGCUGGAACUAGAAUUCCUCCCUGGCUUUGCAUACAUCACCCAGGGAGAUUCAGCCCAGCAGCCAGCCAUGUACUCAACAAUUACUAUGUGCCCAGCCCUAAACCAUGAAAGAGAGCAACCAGGCUAUGCCACACUGGGUGUUACCCAGGGUGGCAGAGACCUGUUUCUGAUCCAAAUGGUACUGUGGACACAGCAAGGCUUUCUGAAGCGGGUGGAGUGGGGGUUUGGAAUAGCAGGACACUUAGACAGGGAGAUAGAAGUGAGUGUCUGAGGACCACCAGGGACAUCAGCCCCAUUUCUGGAGUUGAAGGCAUGCAGCAUAUCCUGGACUAAGCGAGAUGAUCUGACAGAGGCCAGGAACUGUCUGCAGGCUCCAUCUCCUUGGAAGUGGGAAAACAAAGCACGAGGUGGUAUUUGCAGUUGCAGAGAGUCAUGAAAGGUAGGGGGAAGAACUGUCUAACCCUGAGACCUGAGAAGAGAUGAACAGAGAAGCCCAGCAUUUGGAUCAUUGGUGACAUUCGUUUCUUCACAGUGAGGCAUUAAGGUCUUCGACUCUGGAGCCAGACCGCCUGGGUUCCAUUCACCUGUUGCGUGGAUACCAUGGACAAGUCACUUCACCUUUCUGUGAUUCCAUUUUCUCCUCUAAAAUAGGAAUAAUAAUAAUGUCUCUUAGCACUUGGCGGCUGAUACAUAGUAAGUACUACAUGAGUAUAAGUCGUGACUAGUAAGGACGACAUGAACAUGUAAAUGUCCCAGGCCCUGCAGCACAGGCUGAGGAUAGAGUUGAACAAGGCAGGCUCCCUGCUGUCAGUAUGUGCUCAGCCCAGGGGGGAGGCAAGUAAACUCCUAACUGUGGUCCCAUGUGGGGGACACCCAGUCCACCCUCAGGGGAUGAGGGACAGCCUCCUGGAAGGAGCAGCUUGUGGGCUUCAUGAGGGUGGGACUUUGUUUUGUUCCCUGCUGCACUUCUAGUGCCUAGAAUGGGAUCUGGUGUUCAGAGUAGGAGUUCAGUCAACUUUUGCUGAACGGACAAGUGAACCAACUGAGCAAGUUCUUAAAGGAGGAACAGGAUGACAAACAUCCCUUCCAUGGGCCUCAGUCUUCUCAUGUAUAAAAUGAGGGCUUGGAUAGGAGUCCAGGGACCUUCUGGCUAUUCUUGAAAUCCCU
This 2661-nucleotide long non-coding RNA is filed under the name Rhinopithecus bieti (black snub-nosed monkey). RNAcentral's name for it is "lncRNA (ENSRBIG00000045249.1)". The record is from RNAcentral. Lineage: Eukaryota; Metazoa; Chordata; Mammalia; Primates; Cercopithecidae.